UGGGGAAUAUUGGACAAUGGGCGCAAGCCUGAUCCAGCCAUGCCGCGUGAGUGAUGAAGGCCCUAGGGUUUUAAAGCUCUUUCACCGGUGAAGAUAAUGACGGUAACCGGAGAAGAAGCCCCGGCUAACUUCGUGCCAGCAGCCGCGGUAAUACGAAGGGGGCUAGCGUUGUUCGGAUUUACUGGGCGUAAAGCGCACGUAGGCGGACUAUUAAGUCAGGGGUGAAAUCCCGGGGCUCAACCCCGGAACUGCCUUUGAUACUGGUAGUCUUGAGUUCGAGAGAGGUGAGUGGAAUUCCGAGUGUAGAGGUGAAAUUCGUAGAUAUUCGGAGGAACACCAGUGGCGAAGGCGGCUCACUGGCUCGAUACUGACGCUGAGGUGCGAAAGCGUGGGGAGCAAACAGG
Molecule: ribosomal RNA, 404 nt
Filed under: Actinomycetes bacterium
Lineage: Bacteria; Bacillati; Actinomycetota; Actinomycetes
Description: Actinobacteria bacterium partial 16S ribosomal RNA
Rfam family: Bacterial small subunit ribosomal RNA
Source: RNAcentral